RNAcentral lists this long non-coding RNA (571 nucleotides) under Homo sapiens (human). RNAcentral's name for it is "non-protein coding lnc-ANP32A-2:2". The record is from RNAcentral. Lineage: Eukaryota; Metazoa; Chordata; Mammalia; Primates; Hominidae.
ACAGCCUGAGGUGCCACCAAAGCCAUAAGCCCAGGGGAGUCUCUCACACCCCAUUCUCCUAGGGCCCAUGUACCCCACGCCCACCUCCACCCCAGGAGCCGAAGGCCGGCAGGGAGCCUGGAGAGCCUCCUUGAUGGGAGAACUGCGGAGCUUGCCCCUCGGAAAAGUGCAUGGGGUGGAGAACAGGGAAGGAGAAAAAAACAACAACUGGGUACUCGCAGCCCCACCGCGGUGUCCGCUUCGCCGGUGGGAGAGGAUCCUCGCCGCCCUGAAUCCUUGAAAUCCUUGCCGAGCAUCUGCUCUGUACAGGCCGUGUACUAAGUGCUAGAGAGAUGGUGUGGGGUAGAUAAUGGCUUCCAGAGAUGUUCACGUCCUGAUCCACAGAUCCUAUAUGUGAGUGGAAAAAAGCCACAAAUUGAAAAUGUUUUUUAUCUGCUCUCACAUCACAACAAUCAACACAGAAGACUUCUGUGCCCACAUAUGUGAGGAUUUCUCUCACCAGCAAACAAGCAAUCAGUUCUGCAGUGGACACCAGCUGGGUGUCCUCCGAUUCAGUUCUGACACUCUCUAC